UACAGAGGUGGCGAGCGUUGUUCGGAUUUAUUGGGCGUAAAGGGUCCGUAGGCGGUCUGGAAAGUCGGGUAUGAAAUCCUACAGCUUAACUGUGGAACUGCACUCGAAACUCCCGGACUGGAGUGUGAGAGGGGUAAAGGGAAUUCCCGGUGUAAGGGUGAAAUCUGCAGAGAUCGGGAAGAACACCAGUCGCGAAGGCGCUUUACUGGCUCACUACUGACGCUGAGGGACGAAAGCUAGGGGAGCAAACGGGAUUAGAUACCCCCGUA
Molecule: ribosomal RNA, 269 nt
Filed under: uncultured prokaryote
Description: partial 16S ribosomal RNA
Rfam family: Bacterial small subunit ribosomal RNA
Source: RNAcentral